UAAUACAGAGGAUGCAAGUGUUAUUCGGAUUGAUUGGGCGUAAAGCGUCUGUAGGCGGUUUAGAAAGUCUCUUGUGAAAUUCUUCAGCUCAACUGAGGGUCCGCAAAAGAAACUUCUAGGCUUGAGGGAAGUAGAGGUAUAGGGAAUUUCCGGUGGAGCGGUGAAAUGCGUAGAUAUCGGAAGGAACACCAAUAUGGCGAAGGCACUGUACUGGGCUUUUCCUGACGCUAAGAGACGAAAGCUAAAGGAGUGAUUAGGAUUAGAUACCCUAGUAAUUUUAGCCGUAAACGAUGGAAACUCACUGCCGAGCCGGUAUUCGGGGCGGUGGUCAAGCUAACGCGUGAAGUUUCCCGCCUGGGGAUUACGCAUGCAAAUGUGAAACUCAAAGGAAUUGACGGGGACCCGCACAAGCGGUGGAGUAUGUGGUUUAAUUCGAUGCAACGCGAAAAACCUUACCAAGGUUUGAAAUCAUUUCAAAACUCUUUGAAAGAAGAGCCUCCUUCGGGAUGAAAUGACAGGUGGUGCAUGGCUGUCGUCAGCUCGUGUUGUGAAAUGUCAAGUUAAGUCUUGUAACGAGCGCAACCCAUGUCUUUUGUUGCUGUUUUCAGUGCUUAAAAGAGACUGCCGCUCUACAGCGGAGGAAGGUGUGGAUGAUGUCAAGUCAGCAUGCCCCUUAUAUCUUGGGCUACACACGUACUACAAUGGUAGGGACAAUGAGUCGCAAACCUGCGAAGGCUAGCCAAUCUCAAAAACCCUAUCUCAGUUCGGAUUGUACUCUGCAACUCGAGUGCAUGAAGGUGGAAUCGCUAGUAAUCGCUGGUCAGCAUACAGCGGUGAAUACGUUCCCGGGUCUUGUACACACUGCCCGUCACACCAUGGAAGUCGACUCUUCCCUAAGUCGUUACUCGAACCGUAAGGACGAGGAUGCCGAAGGCAGGGUUGGUGACUGGGGUGAAGUCGUAACAAGGUAACCG
This 974-nucleotide ribosomal RNA is filed under the name uncultured bacterium. RNAcentral's name for it is "bacterial SSU rRNA". It matches the Rfam family "Bacterial small subunit ribosomal RNA", at positions 521 to 1502 of the family's 1533-position model. The record is from RNAcentral.